GGUUGCGUAGUGUAAUGGUUAGCACUCAAGACUCUGAAUCUUGCAAUCCGAGUUCGAUCCUCGGCGCGACCU
Molecule: transfer RNA, 72 nt
Filed under: Smittium mucronatum
Lineage: Eukaryota; Fungi; Kickxellomycota; Harpellomycetes; Harpellales; Legeriomycetaceae
Rfam family: tRNA
About the family: Transfer RNA (tRNA) molecules are approximately 80 nucleotides in length. Their secondary structure includes four short double-helical elements and three loops (D, anti-codon, and T loops).
Source: Rfam by way of RNAcentral